RNAcentral lists this ribosomal RNA (253 nucleotides) under uncultured bacterium. RNAcentral describes it as "partial 16S ribosomal RNA". It matches the Rfam family "Bacterial small subunit ribosomal RNA", at positions 524 to 776 of the family's 1533-position model. The record is from RNAcentral.
UACGUAGGGGGCUAGCGUUGUCCGGAAUCAUUGGGCGUAAAGCGCGUGUAGGCGGCCCGGUAAGUCCGCUGUGAAAGUCGGGGGCUCAACCCUCGGAUGCCGGUGGAUACUGUCGGGCUCGAGUACGGAAGAGGCGAGUGGAAUUUCCGGUGGAGCGGUGAAAUGCGUAGAGAUCGGAAAGAACACCAACGGCGAAAGCACUCUGCUGGGCCGACACUGACACUGAGAGACGAAAGCUAGGGGAGCGAAUGGG